CGCUGGCGGUAGGCUUAACACAUGCAAGUCGUGCGAGAAAGUACCUUCGGGUGCGAGUAGAGCGGCGGACGGGUGAGUAACGCGUAGGAAUCUACCUAGUAGAAGGGGAUAGCCCGGGGAAACUCGGAUUAAUACCGUAUACCUCCUUAGGGAGAAAGAGGGCUUAGCUUUGAUGCUCUCGCUAUUAGAUGAGCCUGCGUAAGAUUAGCUUGUUGGUGAGGUAAUGGCUCACCAAGGCGACGAUCUUUAGCUGGUCUGAGAGGACGAUCAGCCACAUUGGGACUGAGACACGGCCCAGACUCCUACGGGAGGCAGCAGUGGGGAAUAUUGGACAAUGGGCGCAAGCCUGAUCCAGCCAUACCGCGUGUGUGAAGAAGGCUUUCGGGUUGUAAAGCACUUUAAGUAAGGAGAAAAAGAUUGUAGUUAAUACCUGCAAUCCGUGAUGUUACUUACAGAAUAAGGACCGGCUAAUUCCGUGCCAGCAGCCGCGGUAAUACGGAAGGUCCAAGCGUUAAUCGGAAUUACUGGGCGUAAAGCGCGCGUAGGUGGUUUUUUAAGUUGGAUGUGAAAGCCCUGGGCUCAACCUAGGAACUGCAUCCAAAACUAGAUGACUAGAGUACGAAAGAGGGAAGUAGAAUUCACAGUGUAGCGGUGGAAUGCGUAGAUAUUGUGAAGAAUACCAAUGGCGAAGGCAGCUUCCUGGUUCUGUACUGACACUGAGGUGCGAAAGCGUGGGUAGCGAACAGGAUUAGAUACCCUGGUAGUCCACGCCGUAAACGAUGACAACUAGCUGUUGGGAGACAAGAUCUCUCAGUGGCGCAGCUAACGCUUUAAGUUGUCCGCCU
Molecule: ribosomal RNA, 845 nt
Filed under: uncultured Gammaproteobacteria bacterium
Lineage: Bacteria; Pseudomonadati; Pseudomonadota; Gammaproteobacteria
Description: bacterial SSU rRNA
Rfam family: Bacterial small subunit ribosomal RNA
Source: RNAcentral